This 700-nucleotide ribosomal RNA is filed under the name uncultured bacterium. Its description in RNAcentral is "bacterial SSU rRNA". It matches the Rfam family "Bacterial small subunit ribosomal RNA", at positions 56 to 746 of the family's 1533-position model. The record is from RNAcentral.
UGCAGUCGAACGGCAGCACAGGAGAGCUUGCUCUCUGGGUGGCGAGUGGCGGACGGGUGAGGAAUACAUCGGAAUCUACUUUUUCGUGGGGGAUAACGUAGGGAAACUUACGCUAAUACCGCAUACGACCUACGGGUGAAAGCAGGGGAUCUUCGGACCUUGCGCGAUUGAAUGAGCCGAUGUCGGAUUAGCUAGUUGGCGGGGUAAAGGCCCACCAAGGCGACGAUCCGUAGCUGGUCUGAGAGGAUGAUCAGCCACACUGGAACUGAGACACGGUCCAGACUCCUACGGGAGGCAGCAGUGGGGAAUAUUGGACAAUGGGCGCAAGCCUGAUCCAGCCAUACCGCGUGGGUGAAGAAGGCCUUCGGGUUGUAAAGCCCUUUUGUUGGGAAAGAAAUCCAGCUGGCUAAUACCCGGUUGGGAUGACGGUACCCAAAGAAUAAGCACCGGCUAACUUCGUGCCAGCAGCCGCGGUAAUACGAAGGGUGCAAGCGUUACUCGGAAUUACUGGGCGUAAAGCGUGCGUAGGUGGUCGUUUAAGUCCGUUGUGAAAGCCCUGGGCUCAACCUGGGAACUGCAGUGGAUACUGGGCGACUAGAGUGUGGUAGAGGGUAGCGGAAUUCCUGGUGUAGCAGUGAAAUGCGUAGAGAUCAGGAGGAACAUCCAUGGCGAAGGCAGCUACCUGGACCAACACUGACAC